GUUAUAGUUUAUUUGAUGGUCUUUACUACAUGGAUAACCGUGGUAAUUCUAUGGCUAAUACAUGCGCACAUGCCUCUCCCUCUGGGAGGGCAGUGUUUAUUAGAUACAGAACCAACCCACCUUCUGGUGGUUCUCGGGUGAUUCAUAGUAACUGAACGGAUCGCGUUAUGACUUCGGUCUGCGACGGAUCAUUCAAGUUUCUGACCUAUCAGCUUUCGACGGUACUGUAUUGGA
This 234-nucleotide ribosomal RNA is filed under the name Chiroptera sp. M493. Its description in RNAcentral is "partial small subunit ribosomal RNA". It matches the Rfam family "Eukaryotic small subunit ribosomal RNA", at positions 109 to 340 of the family's 1831-position model. RNAcentral also lists the same sequence under 2 other names. The record is from RNAcentral. Lineage: Eukaryota; Metazoa; Chordata; Mammalia; Chiroptera.